This 497-nucleotide ribosomal RNA is filed under the name uncultured bacterium. RNAcentral describes it as "partial 16S ribosomal RNA". It matches the Rfam family "Bacterial small subunit ribosomal RNA", at positions 28 to 507 of the family's 1533-position model. The record is from RNAcentral.
GAUGAACGCUGGCGGCGUGCCUAAUACAUGCAAGUCGAACGCAUAGCGAAAGGUUCUUGCACCUUUCACGUGAGUGGCGAACGGGUGAGUAACACGUGGACAACCUGCCUCAAGGCUGGGGAUAACAUUUGGAAACAGAUGCUAAUACCGAAUAAAACUUAGUGUCGCAUGACACAAAGUUAAAAGGCGCUUCGGCGUCACCUAGAGAUGGAUCCGCGGUGCAUUAGUUAGUUGGUGGGGUAAAGGCCUACCAAGACAAUGAUGCAUAGCCGAGUUGAGAGACUGAUCGGCCACAUUGGGACUGAGACACGGCCCAAACUCCUACGGGAGGCUGCAGUAGGGAAUAUUCCACAAUGGGCGAAAGCCUGAUGGAGCAACGCCGCGUGUGUGAUGAAGGCUUUCGGGUCGUAAAGCACUGUUGUAUGGGAAGAACAGCUAGAAUAGGAAAUGAUUUUAGUUUGACGGUACCAUACCAGAAAGGGACGGCUAAAUACGUG